Long non-coding RNA from Heterocephalus glaber (naked mole-rat), 1218 nucleotides. Lineage: Eukaryota; Metazoa; Chordata; Mammalia; Rodentia; Bathyergidae. The record is from Ensembl.
UAGAAAGCAGUGUGAAUGUGUUUAAUGAAAGAAAUGAAAAAGCAUGUGUAUUUAUGGACACAUUUUGUUGAAUUGGUAGCUAAAGUGAUUCUGGGCUGUUUUGUCCUGCAUCCUGUGCCUGGCUUCUUGUCUUUCUCAGCCCCAUCUUCCUGCGCUCUCUCUGUUUUUGUUCUCUGGUUUGUACUUCUGCUUCUCUGGCCCAGUUCACUUGCUGCCCACCCACAAAUCAUGGGUCCACUCUCUAUGGGUCCAGUACUCUGUGUACCAGACCCUAGUGGGUUGCAACAUUUGCUGGUAGUCCUUCCUAAAGUUUCUCCUUAUUACAAUCUUCCCAGUGCUUUGUCUUUCUCCAUUUUACUUCAUAGUGAUAACUUCUUCUGUGGUAUGUCAUUGCACAGGUCACUCCUGCAACCUGAUCUCAAUUCUAGUUUGACCUCACCUUCUCAUGGGAGCCCAGUUUCUACUGAUGAAAAUCCUGCAGCAGAGGUCAGCAUUGAAGGAAUCCAGAUUCCUGAGAAACUGGGACAUCACAGGAGUCUGCAAGAAUCUUGCUAUUUACCUUACCUGCAGAGCAGAGCUCAAAUAUUCAUAAACCUACUAAGAUGACUAUAGGAACCAGCCUACAAUCUCGAACCUGACCAAGGGGUGAAGAGAAUGAAAAACAAAGAGACAUAGAAACAGGUUAAAAUCUGGAGGACCAGGGGGGUCCUGUCUCCCUUGGACAUAGCCCAAGUGACUGGCCCACCUUGGCUUUAUUCACUCAGACACAGACACAAACAGAAUCACACCGGAUUCUUCUGUCUCCCACCCUCCACGGUACUUGUCUGGGUAAACAACUUAACCUCAGGUGUUUGCACUUUUCCCUGCAGCAUGUGAGCACACUUGCAUGCCCUUUUUCUUCUCAGUGCUCACUGAGGAGGCCAAUUAGGCCUUGUUCUUUCCAUUCUGUCUUCCACAGAUGACUUUAUGUUGAAUGAGAACUGUCACCACAUGGUCCCAGAUUGUCAAAAGAAAAAGAUUUAGAUCAGAAUGUAACUUAAAACUUUGGUGUAGCACAGUUUCUUUACAUGGGAGACUUAUAAAGAACAAUGCAAUUAUAAACUCCUUGUAGUAUAAAUUCAAAGGGCAGAUCAUAAAAUGUGCACAACAAUGAGAAGAAAUGCAAGAAAAUGGACUCAUCUUUUUCACCUUGGAAAUAAGAAGGUUGAAGUAGAGCUU